CCCAUCUUCAUUUACAAUAUCAUUUAUAAAUCUUAUACCAUUUUCAAACCAAUCUUUAUAAAAAUUAAAGAACCUUAGUGAGCACGCUCACAUACCCCACGUCCCCACAUUGUCAUUGGAGAAAUUAAAUAAGUGUAAGAAAAAAAAUUGUAUAAGAAAAAAUAUUGAAUAAUAAUUUCCUGUCAAUAUGCACAUCAACAUAGUAUGUCCUUAUUAUCUACAAAAUUUCAUGAAAUUCUGUUGUGUGGUUUCAGAGGAGUUGAGAUGACAAACUGUUGCAGAAGUACAUUGAAGCAAGUAAGUUCAAAGAGAUGUAACUCCUAGAAAAAAAAUUGAAUCGUAAUUUCCUGUCGAUAUCAUGCACAUCUACAUAGUUUGUCCUUAUUAUCUUAAAAGGUUUCAUGAAAUUCUGUUGUGUAGUUUCAGAGGAGUUGCAAUGACAAACUGUUGCAGUAGUACCUUAAAGCAAAUAAGUUCAAAGAGAUGUAACUCCUAGAAAAAAAAUUGAAUCGUAAUUUCCUGUCGAUAUGCACAUCUACAUAGUAUUUCCUUAUUAUCUACAAAUGUUCAUGAAAUUCUGUUGUGUGGUUUCAGAGGAGUUGAGAUGACAAACUGUUGCAGUAGUACAAUAAAGUAAAUAAGUUCAAAGGGGGGGUAACUCCUAGAAAAAAAAUUGAAUCGUAAUUUUCUGUCGAUAUGCACAUCUACAUAGUAUGUCCUUAUUAUCUUAAAAGGUUUCAUGACAUUCUGUUUUGUAGUUUCAGAGGAGUUGCGAUGACAAACUGUUGCAGUAGUACAAUAAAGUAAAUAAGUUCAAAGGGGGGUAACUCCUAGAAAAAAAAUUGAAUCGUAAUUUCCUGUCGAUAUGCACAUCUACAUUGUAUGUCCUUAUUAUCUAAAAAGGUUUCGUGAAAUUCUGUUGUGUAGUUUCAGAGGAGUUGCGAUGACAAACUGUUGCAGUAGUACAUUAAAGCAAAUACAUUCAAAGGGGCGUAACUCUUAUAAAAAAAAUUGAAUCGCAAUUUCCUGUCGAUAUGCACAACUACAUAGUAUGUCCUUUUCAUCUGAAAAGGUUUCGUGAAAUUCUGUUGUGUGGUUUGAGAGGAGUUGCGAUGACAAGAAACAGGACUGACGGACUGACGGACGGACAGACGGACGGACUGACGGACGGACGGACUGACGGACGGACGGACGGGUCAAAAACAUUAUACCCUCCGCAACUUCGUUGCGUGGGGUAUAAAUAGGUUUAUUUGCUACCUUUAUAUUAUUGUUAAACCAGAUUGGACUAACAAGAAAGCAUUCCCAACUGUCAUAUUCAUCUUUUUCUCUAAGAAGUUGCCAUGCUUUCAGAACAUCUUGCCAAAAUUUAUUUUUGAUAUGUUGUUGUAAUUUUUGGAUAUAAACACUUCCACAACCAUAAAAUUUUUCAAGUUCUACAUGAACAUUUGACAAAAAAACAUUCUGCCAUUUGUUGUCUGUUUUAAAUAAUCUCCUUAUCCAUGUACACUUCAGUGCUAAAAUAAAUGCACUAAGAUUUAUCAUUUUGAGUCCACCAUCUUCAAUAUCAUUUUGUAAAACAUCUCUCUUAAUUCUAUCAAUUGGUGAACUCCAUAUAAAAUUGUACAUAAGUUGAAUAA
RNAcentral lists this long non-coding RNA (1637 nucleotides) under Mytilus galloprovincialis (Mediterranean mussel). The record is from RNAcentral. Lineage: Eukaryota; Metazoa; Mollusca; Bivalvia; Mytilida; Mytilidae.